CAUGCAAGUCGAGGGGAAACGACAUCGAAAGCUUGCUUUUGAUGGGCGUCGACCGGCGCACGGGUGAGUAACGCGUAUCCAACCUGCCCACCACUUGGGGAUAACCUUGCGAAAGUAAGACUAAUACCCAAUGACGUCUCUAGAAGACAUCUGAAGGAGAUUAAAGAUUUAUCGGUGAUGGAUGGGGAUGCGUCUGAUUAGCUUGUUGGCGGGGUAACGGCCCACCAAGGCGACGAUCAGUAGGGGUUCUGAGAGGAAGGUCCCCCACAUUGGAACUGAGACACGGUCCAAACUCCUACGGGAGGCAGCAGUGAGGAAUAUUGGUCAAUGGACGAGAGUCUGAACCAGCCAAGUAGCGUGCAGGAUGACGGCCCUAUGGGUUGUAAACUGCUUUUAUAAGGGAAUAAAGUGAGUCUCGUGAGACUUUUUGCAUGUACCUUAUGAAUAAGGACCGGCUAAUUCCGUGCCAGCAGCCGCGGUAAUACGGAAGGUCCGGGCGUUAUCCGGAUUUAUUGGGUUUAAAGGGAGCGUAGGCCGGAGAUUAAGCGUGUUGUGAAAUGUAGAUGCUCAACGUCUGCACUGCAGCGCGAACUGGUUUCCUUGAGUACGCACAAAGUGGGCGGAAUUCGUGGUGUAGCGGUGAAAUGCCUAGAUAUCACGAAGAACUCCGAUUGCGAAGGCAGCUCACUGGAGCGCAACUGACGCUGAAGCUCGAAAGUGCGGGUAUCGAACAGGAUUAGAUACCCUGGUAGUCCGCACGGUAAACGAUGGAUGCCCGCUGUUGGUCUGAAUAGGUCAGCGG
This 802-nucleotide ribosomal RNA is filed under the name uncultured bacterium. RNAcentral describes it as "bacterial SSU rRNA". It matches the Rfam family "Bacterial small subunit ribosomal RNA", at positions 54 to 846 of the family's 1533-position model. The record is from RNAcentral.